UGGGGGAUAUUGCACCCUGGGCGAAAGCCUGAUGCAGCACCGCCGCGUGAGGGAAGACGGUUUUCGGAUUGUAAACCUCUGUCUUUGGUGACGAAACAAAUGACGGUAGCCAAGGAGGCAGCCACGGCUAACUACGUGCCAGCAGCCGCGGUCAUACGUAGGUGGCGAGCGUUGUCCGGAAUUACUGGGUGUAAAGGGAGCGCAGGCGGGGAGACAAGUCAGCUGUGAAAACUAUCGGCUUAACUGAUAGAGUGCAGUUGAAACUGUUUUUCUUGAGUGGAGCAGAGGCAGGCGGAAUUCCGAGUGUAGCGGUGAAAUGCUUAGAUAUUCGGAGGAACACCAGUGGGGAAGGCGGCCUGCUGGGCUUUAGCUGACGCUGAGGCUCGAAAGUGUGGGGAGCAAACA
This 405-nucleotide ribosomal RNA is filed under the name uncultured prokaryote. Its description in RNAcentral is "bacterial SSU rRNA". It matches the Rfam family "Bacterial small subunit ribosomal RNA", at positions 355 to 774 of the family's 1533-position model. The record is from RNAcentral.